AAGCUCACUGAGUUUUUUUUUUUUUUAAUUAUUACCUAUUUUCUAUAUUUGUUUCAAACAGUUAAUCUGACAAGGAGAUUACUGCCUCUAGCUGCCUCAAUUUGUCUCCUGUGCUUGAAGUUUCUGCCUACCAGAUUCACAGUGGCUUCAUGAAAAUGGAUGAUGCUUAAUAUGAGAGGACAGUCUUCCUUCAACUCUUCCCUUUAGAUCAAUAACUUAGAGUCAUUUAAAACACCCCGAUGAGUAUGACCGCAUACUUUUUGGCUGAUUAGGUAUGUGACAUGUAAGAUACUUCUGUGAAACUGUUGAAGUAAGACUACAUGUGUAAG
RNAcentral lists this long non-coding RNA (329 nucleotides) under Apteryx owenii (little spotted kiwi). Its description in RNAcentral is "lncRNA (ENSAOWG00000001516.1)". Lineage: Eukaryota; Metazoa; Chordata; Aves; Apterygiformes; Apterygidae. The record is from RNAcentral.